RNAcentral lists this ribosomal RNA (547 nucleotides) under uncultured bacterium. RNAcentral's name for it is "bacterial SSU rRNA". It matches the Rfam family "Bacterial small subunit ribosomal RNA", at positions 355 to 894 of the family's 1533-position model. The record is from RNAcentral.
UAGGGAAUCUUCGGCAAUGGACGGAAGUCUGACCGAGCAACGCCGCGUGAGUGAAGAAGGUUUUCGGAUCGUAAAGCUCUGUUGUAAGAGAAGAACGAGUGUGAGAGUGGAAAGUUCACACUGUGACGGUAUCUUACCAGAAAGGGACGGCUAACUACGUGCCAGCAGCCGCGGUAAUACGUAGGUCCCGAGCGUUGUCCGGAUUUAUUGGGCGUAAAGCGAGCGCAGGUGGUUAGAUAAGUCUGAAGUUAAAGGCUGUGGCUUAACCAUAGUAGGCUUUGGAAACUGUUUAACUUGAGUGCAAGAGGGGAGAGUGGAAUUCCAUGUGUAGCGGUGAAAUGCGUAGAUAUAUGGAGGAACACCGGUGGCGAAAGCGGCUCUCUGGCUUGUAACUGACGCUGAGGCUCGAAAGCGUGGGGAGCAAACAGGAUUAGAUACCCUGGUAGUCCACGCUGUAAACGAUGAGUGCUAGGUGUUAGACCCUUUCCGGGGUUUAGUGCCGUAGCUAACGCAUUAACACUCCGCCUGGGGAGUACGACCGCAAGGU